Vibrio maritimus is the source of this 175-nucleotide regulatory RNA element. It matches the Rfam family "Lysine riboswitch aptamer". Rfam says of the family: Riboswitches are metabolite binding domains within certain messenger RNAs that serve as precision sensors for their corresponding targets. Allosteric rearrangement of mRNA structure is mediated by ligand binding, and this results in modulation of gene expression. The record is from Rfam. Lineage: Bacteria; Pseudomonadati; Pseudomonadota; Gammaproteobacteria; Vibrionales; Vibrionaceae.
UACAGCGGAAGAGGAGCACUGCCCAGGCAAGUGAUUUGUGAAGCCGCAACUUCAAUACAAUUCACUCAUGGGGAGCAGUGCCGAGAUGAACUAAAAUUGUCGGAUUUAGUUUGUCGGUUAAAUGGGCUGAAUCCCUUUAACUGUCACCAAGAUUUGGUGAAGAGCUUCUGAGGUC